This 316-nucleotide long non-coding RNA is filed under the name Elaeis guineensis (African oil palm). RNAcentral's name for it is "long non-coding RNA (EGUI_LNC039089)". The record is from RNAcentral. Lineage: Eukaryota; Viridiplantae; Streptophyta; Magnoliopsida; Arecales; Arecaceae.
UUAAUUUGGUUCUUAUCCAACUUGGAAGUGUUUCAAGCAUGGAAGGAGUCCUCUGUGCCCACUAGGUCUCACUCCAAAAAUUUAAUGCUACCUUUUCUUAAUUAGCAUUAAGAUAUGAAGAGAUCUUCUUAAAGAAUACUCUUAUCUCUUCAGUUUUCAUCUAGAUUCUUAAAUAUUACAUGCUGAAUUUGUGUGGAAAAUUUAUGGGACACAGAAGAGAAAAAGUCCUUCUAUGUGAAGGCUCUUCUGCACCAAAAUAAAUCACAGAGAUUUAUUUCUCCACAUGAGAAGUUGGAGCGCCAAGAGUUGGUGCCCC